RNAcentral lists this ribosomal RNA (328 nucleotides) under uncultured eukaryote. RNAcentral's name for it is "partial 18S ribosomal RNA". It matches the Rfam family "Eukaryotic small subunit ribosomal RNA", at positions 1470 to 1796 of the family's 1831-position model. The record is from RNAcentral.
CCCUUAGAUGUCCUGGGCCGCACGCGCGUUACACUGAUGCAUUCAACGAGCUUAUAACCUUGGCCGAGAGGCCUGGGCAAUCUUGUUAACGUGCAUCGUGAUAGGGAUAGAUUAUUGAAAUUGUUAAUCUUGAACGAGGAAUUCCUAGUAAACGCAGAUCAUCAAUCUGCAUUGAUUACGUCCCUGCCCUUUGUACACACCGCCCGUCGCACCUACCGAUUGGAUGGUCCGGUGAAGCCUCGGGAUUGUGGUUCUUGCCGCUUUAUUGUGGCGUGACCGCGAGAACUUGUCUAAACCUUAUCAUCUAGAGGAAGGUGAAGUCGUAACA